Molecule: long non-coding RNA, 308 nt
Filed under: Capsicum annuum
Lineage: Eukaryota; Viridiplantae; Streptophyta; Magnoliopsida; Solanales; Solanaceae
Description: long non-coding RNA (CANN_LNC005952)
Source: RNAcentral
CUGACAUUGAUUGCAUUGCCACCAAUUACAGAGGAAAAUACAAAGUGAUGGUAGGUAAGGGUAAGGAUACAAAGAAGGGUGGGACACAAGGCUAUUAGGAGUUCUCAGAGGCACGUGCAGCACAUUGGAGGUCUAUGAUGGGGCUGCCGGUUCAGGCUUGACCAGUGACUGGUCAUCCGGUUGCUGAGUAGGAUAGAUCAGGGCAGCUAGUGAUAUGGGCAUGAUGCAGAGUGAUUUAGACUGAAGGUAUUGCAUGGCAGCACCAACAUCUUCCUCCAUGAGCUUAGCAACCUCUCGUUCUGUGUCGG